CUACAAUUGCAGUACAAACCUCCUUUCGCAAAAAUUUUCAAAUAACAACGGGAAGAAGUUGUUGCAACAACACAUGACAAUCGUGAGUUUUCAAAACUAAAAUUUUGCCUUCAUUUUCUCGAACACAUUUAGAAAUAUUUGAUGCAUAUCCAUCAGGAAACUUCACAGAUUUCAAGAACUUACAAAAGAUUUUUUUUCCUCCAACGUUAAUGUGUAAGAAGCACGAGGUUUCAAAAAUCCAUUACCAUGUGGUUUUAAAUGCAAUUCUUUUCUAAUGUUCAUAUCUUGCAAAUCCAAUCUAGCCUUAUUCGUAUCUUUUGUUUUCCCUUCAAC
Molecule: long non-coding RNA, 333 nt
Filed under: Olea europaea (common olive)
Lineage: Eukaryota; Viridiplantae; Streptophyta; Magnoliopsida; Lamiales; Oleaceae
Description: long non-coding RNA (OEUR_LNC001697)
Source: RNAcentral